RNAcentral lists this small RNA (1496 nucleotides) under Pongo abelii (Sumatran orangutan). Its description in RNAcentral is "processed transcript". Lineage: Eukaryota; Metazoa; Chordata; Mammalia; Primates; Hominidae. The record is from RNAcentral.
GGGGGAAGUUUAGGAGUUGAGGAAAGAAGAUUAAAGAGCGCGAGGAGACAAAUAAAAAGAAGUGUUAAGAAUUGCCUUUGGGACUCUGAAGGCUGAAGAAUUGAUAAAUUGCAAGUUUGUGCCCCAUAGCUGCACAGACUGCCUGAAGUUACAUUUAGAGACUGAAAUCACUGCACCUUAAAAACAAAAGAUUGAGCUGCACUGUAUUCCUGGAAAGCACCUACCAAGGCUUCCUAUUACCUAUUUCACAGCAUAAGCCUACAGGGUACGAAGAAUGAACUCUGAGAAUGUUUGGAGAAUGUUUCAUCAUUACUAACAGGAUAUCCCUCAUGACAUUGCUGUCUGAUUCAGAGGAUGUAUGUACAGGCUUUUUACCUGGGUAUAUUGUGUGAUGCUGAGGUUUGGAGUAUGAAUGAUCCCAUCACCCAAGUACUGAGCAUGUACUGAACAGUUAGUUUGGUUUUUUGUUGUUGUUGUUUUGUUGUUUUUUUGAGAUGGAGUCUCAUUUUGUCACCCAGGCUGGAUUGCAGUGGUGCAAUCUUGGCUCACUGCAACCUCCGUCCCCCCAGUUCAAGUGAUUCUCGUGCCUUAGCCUCCCAAGUAGCUGGGAUUACAGAUGUGCGCCAUCAUACCCAGCUAAUUUUUGUAUUUUUAGUAGAGACAGGGUUUCACCAUGUUGUCCAGGCUGGUCUCAAACUCCUGGCCUCAAGUGAUCCACCUGCCUUGGCCUCCCAAAGUACUGGGAUUACAGGUGUGAGCCACCGCGCCUGGCCACUGGGAAGACUUUGAUUUCUGGUCACAUCUUUUGAUAAUAAGGAUCUGGAGCCAAAGAAGAAACAGAAACUACUUUUAAGACCUUUGGAGAUCCGAGUUUAGUGGACUCUUAAGAGCCUGUAUUAUUUCUUGGAUGACUUAUCCAGCCCUUUGUAGAAUCAGAACUCUCACAAUUUUCUUUAAAUCAAAUAAAACCCAAGGGGUUAAGUGGAUCUUUAAAAUUAUUUCCAGGUCAUUCUUUCAAUAAACACUUAUUGGUUUAUUUGUUAUUAUUUCAACAAACUAUGUGACAGGCAAACAUGAACUCAUUUCUUUCUUUUUUUUUUUUUUUUUUUUUUACCUUUCAACUCCUUUUAUUUAUUUACCUAUUUAUUUUCCUUAAGCAAGUAAAUCUCCUUAUGGAUUGUUAAGGGCCCUGUAUGUAUUUGCAUGUAGCCAAAGAUUCAGUCUCUUGCAGGAACUCUGGUUGUCAACUGGUGAUCUUGCCUUUGUCUUUUCUCAUAGUUCUGCCUGUGGCGCCUGUCACUAGCAGUCAAAUAAGGACAAUUUUACCAUUCUCUCCUGCUGCUCUAAUUUUUUUUUAGUGCCAGUACAUGAAUUUGUUAUUCUUUAUAAUUCCCUUUGAAGUUGGAAAUCCAAGGGGAAUCUAAAACCGACCAGAUGUUUCUGCUGCUGGAAAGGAAAGAGAGUAAGGAUUAAGUUUAACAAAAACUUGGUCUCCA